Molecule: long non-coding RNA, 1323 nt
Organism: Mus musculus (house mouse)
Lineage: Eukaryota; Metazoa; Chordata; Mammalia; Rodentia; Muridae
Product: RIKEN cDNA 1700010N08 gene
Exons: 7
Source: RefSeq, marked validated
GAGCUGAUAGAGACCUGCGCUUUGACGAGUUGCGGCUGUUCUAUGUGGGCAGUUUGCAACUGUCUAUUGCUGGAGCACAAGGGCUGCAGGUUGGCUUGGAGACAGCACUGCUUGACAGAAGAUACCCUGCUUUCCUAAUGCCCGCAAAAGUACAAGGCCCAACAGUGUGAACUUCCUGGACCUGCUUUACACUUGAUGCAAUCCUGGCCUUAGUAGAGAGGCCUGGCAAGUGGAGCUGGAGGUCUUGGAUAGAGGAGAACAUGGACACUGUGGUGCCAGCAUUCCUCAGGCUUUGAUCCUUGGACCAGCUUGAUCCUGCAUUCUUACAUUAGUGGGUGAUAGCACUGAACUUCCAGAAGCAGUGGUCUUCAUUUCAUCUGGCAAAUGCUUGUAAAGUGGGUUCUGCCCUUAUAAGUAAAGAACAGAGGAGCCAAAGGUUGGCUUGGAGUACUCAGAGACAGCACUGCUUGACAGAAGAUACCCUGCAAUCCUAAUGUCCUCAAAAGUACAACACCCAAGAGUAUGAACUUCCUUGAGCUGCUUUGCACUUGAUGCAAUCCUGGUCUAAGUAGAGAGGCCUUGCAAGUGGAGUUGGAGGUCUUGGGUAGAGGAGAACAUGGACUCGGUGGAGCCAGCAUUCCUCAGAUGCAGCCCGAUGGUUCCCAAACUGGCAUUUCGAGAAGCUGACUUCUACCUUCGGCUCCCAGUAUCAGUGAGAUAAUUACCGUGUAUCCGAAGCUGCUUUAUUUCAUAAUAAGGAAGGUGGGCCUGGAUAACCACAGAAGAGGAAAACUCCUGCAGAAAAUGUUGUCAGAACCUGUAUUCUUAAGAGAUGUUCUCAGCAAUGUACAGUAAACUUUGCAACUUGGAAAUGCAUUUUUCCAUGAGUGAAUCUAUGAAAGUUGUUUCAGAAUUUAAAGUUCAGUGACACAGUGGUUACUCCACGUACCUUUGGCAACAUGUUAUGGAAAACUUGAAGGACUGGCAAGAUGGCUCAGCAGGUAAAGCUGUUUGACACCAAAAUCUGACCUCCUGUAUUCCAUCACCAAAUUUAACUGUGACACAGAAGGACUAACUUCAGAGAGUUGACCUCUGAACUUCCCACUCAUGCUGUGGGUUUUGUGUGCCAACACUCACACACAUAGUUGCCUACUUCAGUCAAUGCCAGUGUGCUUUUAGAGCUAACAUCUUGCUACAUUUGAGAAGGUUUCUUUUGUUUGCUGCCUUGAAGUCUUCAAGCUGUCUUAUGGAAGACUGAAGAAUAUUUUCAUACAGAAAUUCAAGAAUAAGCUUCAGUUAUUAAACAAUGAGUAUCUGAAAAUC